GAUGAACGCUGGCGGCGUGCCUAAUACAUGCAAGUCGAGCGAACAGACGAGGAGCUUGCUCCUCUGACGUUAGCGGCGGACGGGUGAGUAACACGUGGAUAACCUACCUAUAUGACUGGGAUAACUUCGGGACACCGGAGCUUAUACCGGAUAAUAUAUUGAACCGCAUGGUUCAAUAGUGAAUGACGGUUUUGCUGUCACUUAUAGAUGGAUCCGCGCCGCAUUAGCUAGUUGGUAAGGUAACAGCUUACCACGGCGACGAUGCGUAGCCGACGUGAGAGGGUGAUCGGCCACCCUGGAAGGGAGACACGGUCCAGACUCCUACGGGAGGCAGCAGUAGGGAAUCUUCCGCAAUGGGCGGAAGCCUGACGGAGCAACGCCGCGUGAGUGAUGAAGGUCUUCGGAUCGUAAAACUCUGUUAUUAGGGAAGAACAAAUGUGUAAGUAACUAUGCACGUCUUGACGGUACCUAAUCAGAAAGCCACGGCUAACUACGUG
This 497-nucleotide ribosomal RNA is filed under the name uncultured bacterium. Its description in RNAcentral is "partial 16S ribosomal RNA". It matches the Rfam family "Bacterial small subunit ribosomal RNA", at positions 28 to 507 of the family's 1533-position model. The record is from RNAcentral.